AUAGUAUUAAGAAGCUAUUCGAUGAGGCUUUUGGUGCUUAUGUCGACAAAAAAGGUCGCCAUAACAAGAAUUUUGGUCGCACAGUUAUAUGGAAACAUUUUCAGGCACACAUACAACCACCUGGCAGUAUGCUUUGCGGACAAUAUGUGAUGUACCACAUGUUAUCCUUUGCGGAUAAUCUUAGUUUGGACCGUGAUCGA
Zea mays is the source of this 200-nucleotide long non-coding RNA. RefSeq lists it as uncharacterized. The record is from RefSeq and is a predicted model, not a curated record. Lineage: Eukaryota; Viridiplantae; Streptophyta; Magnoliopsida; Poales; Poaceae. The transcript is spliced from 3 exons.